Sarcophilus harrisii (Tasmanian devil) is the source of this 11449-nucleotide long non-coding RNA. Lineage: Eukaryota; Metazoa; Chordata; Mammalia; Dasyuromorphia; Dasyuridae. The record is from Ensembl.
AAACUCUGCCCAGUGUCUCUGCCUGAUGCAAAUCGGCCCUGGAAAAGCUCUCUGACCCCCAGCCGAGCUCCCCACUGCGCAGAUUGGAGGCUAACCCGGGCUGCGUCCUCCUGCUGUGCAGGAUCACAACCGCCCCAAGGAAAAGCCCGUACUGCGGGUUGGGGCUGCGCGCUUGUGCUGAGAUCUGUGCCUUCACCCUCGGUUUGAGACUCUCCUCGGAACCUAAUUUCUCUCCCCGUCUGUGCCGAUCUCCCCCCUGGCCCCGGAACCAACCUUUUUUGGCGAGACUGCAUAUUUUCUUCGGCCGGUGAGUUGUUAUACUUCUUAUCUUUACAAAUUGUAGCAGUCAAGACUAUUUUUGAGGCUCGAUAUAAUAUUGAUAAAGAGGGUAAGAGAAGAGCUUAGAAAGUCGCGUGUGUCUUCUCCGCCAUCUUGGCUCCGCCCCCCCACAAUUGUGUUUUGAUGACAUCCCCUUUUGUUUGGUGAAAGGUUCUUCAGUCUUCUGCUCAGUUGUCAAAUCUUUACAGUAUCUGUGAAAUGAAAAUGUCUUAGACUGAGGCCAUUUCCUAACUCCAGCUGCCUCAGGGCUUAUUAAUUGUUGAUUCCACAGAGUUGGCUUGGAUGUGUUUGCACUUCACUCAAAUUGCACUUCUGUCCCAGGGAAGCCAGGUCUUUCCUUUGCAUCUUCUAAAGUUGUCUAAGGAGAAAAACUGCUUUAAUCUGAUUUGUGUUCAUUGCCACUGCUCCAAAUCGCCUCUGAGGAAUUGUUGGUUUUUUGGGGAGGAAAUUUGGAGAGUCAAAAGUUUUUUGUUCUACUCUAUCAUCUUCUCCUCAAAAGUCAGAAGAAUUUGAAAGACGGGAGAUUAAUUUAGAAUUUGUAAAAUUUUAAAAUAAAUUUAUAAAUUAUAUUUCAGAAUACACAAGAUUUUAAAGAUAACUUUUUGAUGAAUAAAUAAAAAAACUGAAUUAGUAGCAUCCAGUCUUGAAAUCCUUGGGUCUGAUCUAUAAGAAGAUUGAUAAUCCACAAUAUUUGGAUAGAUGAAAAAUGAGGUCAUAUAAAUAAGUUGUCCCAAAAAACUUACUGUAGUUUUAAACUUUAUUGGAUUAAAAGUGAAUUAAGUCUUUUGAGAAAUGCCAUAUUUAUCUACAAAUGUUAUCUUUGAAAGAAAUAGGGGAUUAGGUUGUUAAAUCCCAGACAACUUUGAAAAGCAAACUAAGAAAAGAUAAAUAAGGGAUGGGGGAAAAUGAAAAAAAAAGUUAUGGGGUUUUGUAUAUGUUCAGAUCAUCUAAGAUGGAGACACUUAUGUGGAAGAUGUCAGGGAUCUUCUGAGAGAAGACAUUCUGCAUUUUACCAUGUGGAUAAGAAUAACCUCUUUCCAUUUGCUACUGGAAUAGAUAGCAUCUUUAAAAAUAUCAUAUUGAGGCAAUCUUAUUCUCUCUCAGCACUUUGGUGCUGUCCAAGAGGUAAAGAAGUUCAUUCAUUUGAAGUAUGAGCACUAUAACUUAAGCUGGGGAUAAGGGAAGAUCCAUUCCCCUUCCAUCUUAGGUAGGUACUGUGGUCCAGAGAAAUUGAAUUGGAGUUUUAUUCUUUUUCAUUUGGAGUCAGAGUUCAAAGCCCUAUUUUGUUGCACUGAGGGAAAUUUUCUAUGUUUACUUUUGCUAUGUCUUUUUAAAAUAAAAAAUAUUUAAUGUUUUAUUUUCUUCAAAUUACAAAUUCCUAUGUUAUAUAGAUUCAUAUCCAUAUAUAUACACAUAUUUAUAUGUGUAUAUAUACACAUGUCUAAAACAUACACAUGAGACACACACACAGAGAAAGCGGGAGAGGGAGAGAGAGAGAGAGUAGAAAUAGUCCUGGAUGCAGUGGAAGACUUGGCCAAUUAAAGCCUAAUCUUUCCCAGGUCUCAAUUUGAUUGAGGCAUGCCAAAUCUUACCUAAUACAUAGUAAAAAAUGAGACCAAAAAUGGCCUCUUUUACCUAGUGAAAAAUGAAAAGAAAAGAAAAAUCAUUCCAAGAAGGGAAUGCCCUCAGAGUUUCUGAACUAAAUGAAAGAAAAAAUUUAAGAGAAAGAAAGAAAGGGAGGAAUGAAGAAAGAAAGAAAAGGAGGAAGGAAGGAGAAAGAAAAAAGAAAGAAGGAAUGAAGGAAGGAAGAAAGAGGGAGAGAAGAGAAGAAGAAAGGAAGGUAAGUAGGUAAGGAAGGAAAGAAAGAAAAAAAAGAACUUUUUAAGACAACUCUCAAACUAUUAACUAUAGAAAAGAUGCUGAUAUGGAUCUGUAUAGGUGUAAUGUCUGGACUAGCUCUCUGGAAGAUCUCAAUACCAGCCCAAGUCCUUGAUCUUAGGAGAUGAGUGAAGGGGUGGGACCCACAUGGAUGGUCAAAAAUGGAGUCUAUUUCACGUUAUCUCAAUCUUAAAUACCCUAGAAUAAUUACAGCACUACAGCAUACUGUGCUAUACUGUGUAACUAUACAUGGCAUGAGUCAACUAUGAAAUGCUGAGCAUGCUGGGCCACAUAAGCACCUUGCUGCUAUUAUGUAGAUGCCUCUUUGCUGCAAGUAUCUCUGCUUCAAGUAGAAUUCAGGUUGUGUGUGUGAGACAACCCCUGACUUCUCAGGAAGGCUGAGAUAUCCUGAAGGGGAGAUGAGAGCUGAACCAGAUUUUGUCAGCAUAUUUCUCCUGGAUUGAAGAGUCUUAUAUCUCACCCAGAGUUCCCCCCACUAUCUGUGGCCCUGUACAUAUAGGGAAUUACAGUACUCAUUUUAUAGAGCUAUUGGUAUAAGAACUAUAAGUUCCUAUACUAAUGAAAUUACAACUCUAUUCCCUACCCCUAUUCUUAUUCUUACAUUAUAUAAAUAUGUAUUGUAGAACAAAAGACUAACCAUAAUUGUAAGGAAUAGCAAGGUGUUUGUGUGUAUAUAUAUUCUGAUUUUAUGUAUUAAUUGAUGAGAAUCAGGAAAGUAAUUCCUUGUUAAGGACUAUGCUUAAGUGUAAAGGGGCAGGUUGAUUCUCUGUAAGCCCUCACAGCUGUGAAUCAUAAGGAAUCACAAGUCAACCUUUACUGAUACAGAUGUUGCUUGUGAAUUGGGAAUGAAAUAAAUUGGAGGCAAGAGAGAAGAGAGAGGUCAGAGAAUGCAACUGCCUCUCAGUCUCUUGUAGAGUUAUCCUCUCACAUGAAGGGAUCUAUUCUGCUGGUCAGAAUUAGAUCCCCAGCAACCACUGGUGGCUCCCAUAACACCCACCAGCCACCAGCAGGUUGCUCCCAUAACAAAAAUUCCUGAUGCAAAAAGCAAAGAGCAGGGCAGAGCCAAGAUGGCAAAGACACGUGUCUUCCUAGACUCUCCUUUUCCUUCAACCAAUUUUAAUUAAAUUUAGCCUCAGAAUUAUUACUUGACUGUCAGAACCCAUGAAUAUUGGGAGUACAACACAUUACCAACCAAAAAUAAUCUUGUAAUUUGCCAGAAAAGGUCAUUUUUGCUCGUGCACGGGGAGCAGACUCAAGCAGGCAGUGAGAGCUCAGGCAAGAGCUCAGCUGAGCAGACUGGAGGUGGGUGGAGUGUAGUCUCUUCUGGUGGAAAAUCUGCAGGUAGAACUCUAUCACAGUGUGAACUACUCUGCCCUGACAGCAAGCCAGUAAAUCAGCAGAGAAGCAAUACACACAGCAAGUAAAGACUAUAACCCCAAAAUGCUAGAGUCUCUUGGGACCUGACUACACCCACCCAAUUCAGCAUGAUCCAAGUGCAGCUGGAGACGCUACUCCCAGUGCAAUUAAUGCCUUCCUACUGCCACUGAUUUCAGUGCAACUGCUAAUACCAAUGCAGCCUGUGGGUGCUGUCCCACUGCCACUUCAUUGCCACUUCCUGUUGUCUGUAGAGGGAAACUGGAAAUACACCACUAUCCCAAAAACAGACUGUAGCUUUUCUUUUCUUUUGGUUUACAGAUAAACUUCACACACCUCAUUAAAAAUUGGGAGGGAAAAAGUGAAAAGGGAAGGGGGAAUACAGAAAUUGUAAGGAAAAGGUUUAAGAAAAGGGGAGGGACUUUAAGGGAGAGGGAGGUACCCUAAAGAGGGAGGGCUGAGUGAGGCAAGUGGUACUCACAAGUUUAAUAGCAGGGAGGGGAGGAAGAGGAAAAGGAAAGAGAAAAGAAUAAUCUGGGAUUAACAAGAUAACAGGAAAUACAGAAUUACUAAUUUUAACCAUAAAUGUGAAUGGGGUAAACUCCCCCAUAAAGCAAAGGCAGAUAGCAGACUGGAUUAAAAGCCAUAAUCCUACAAUGUUGUUUACAGGAAACACACUUGAUACAGGGUGAUACAUACAGAGUAAUGGUAAAAGACUGGAAUCAAAUCUACUAUACUUCAGGUGAAGUAAAAAAAAAAAAAAAAAAAAAAAAAAGCAGGGGUAAGCCAUCCUUAUCUCAGAUCAAGCAAAAGCAAAAAUUAAUCUAAUUAAAAGAGAUAAGGAAGGGCACUAUAUCUUGCUAAAAGGUAGUAUAGAAAAUGAAGCAAUAUGAAUACUAAAUAUAUAUGCACCAAGUCAUAUACCAUCUAAAUACCUAAAGGAGAAGUUAAGAGAGUUCCAAGAAGAAAUAGACAGCAAAACUAUAACAGUGGGAGAUCUCAAUCUUGCACUCUCAGAACUAGAUAAGUCAAACCACAAAAUAAAUAAGAAAGAAGUUAAAGAGGCAAAUAGAACACUAUAAAAAUUAGGUAUGAUAGCUCUUUGGAGAAGACUGAAUGGAGACAGAAAGAAGUAUACUUUCUUCUCAGCAGUUCAUGGAACAAAUUGACCAUAUAUUAGGACAUAAAGACCUCAAAUUCAAAGGCAGAAAGGCAGAAAUAGUAAGUGCAUUAUUUUCAGAUCACAUUGCAGUACAAAUUACAUUCAAUAAAAAACCAGAGGGAAAUAGACCAAAAAAUAAUUGGAAACUAAAUAAUAUCAUCCUAAAAGAAUGAUUGGGUGAAACAGCAAAUCAUAGACACAAUUAAUAAUUUCACUCAAGAGAAUGACAAUAAUGAGACACCAUACCAAAAUAUGUGGUAUGCAGCCAAGGUGAUAAUAAGGGGAAAUUUUAUAUCUCUAGAGGUUUACUUGCUUAAAAUAGAGAAAGAGAAAAUCAGUGAUUUAGGCUUGCAACUAAAAAAGCUAGAAAAAGAGCAAAUUAAAAACCCCCAAUCAAACACUAAACUUGAAAUUCUAAAAAUAAAAGGAGAGAUCAAUAAAAUUGAAAGUAAAAAACUAGUGAAUUAAUUAAUAAAACUAAGAGGUGUUUUUAUGAAAACUCAACAAAAUAGAUAAACCUUUGGUAAAUUUGAUUAGAAAAAGGAAAGAAAAAAAUCAAAUAGUCUUAAAAACUAAUGAAGAGGAAAUUAGAGCAAUAUUUAGGAGUUACUUUGCCCAACUUUAUGCCAAUAAAUUUGAUAACCCAAAUGAAAUGGAUGAAUACCUUCAAAAAUAUAGGUUGCCCAGAUUAAAAGAGGAAGAAGUAAAUUGGUGAAAUAGUCCUAUUUUAGAAAAAGAAAUAGAACAAGCUAUUGAUCAGCUCCCUAAAAAAAAUCCCCAGGACCAGAUGGAUUUACAUGUGAAUUCUACCAAACAUUUAAAGAACAAUUAAUUUCAAUGCUACAUAAACUAUUUGACAAAAUAGGGAAUGAAGGAGUCCUACCAAAUUCCUUUUAUGACACAGUCAUGAGACUGAUACCUAAACCAGGUAGGAUGAAAACAGAGAAAAAAAAUUAUAGACCAAUGCCCUAAUGAAUGUCAAUGCAAAAAUCUUAAAUAAAAUCUUAGCAAAAAGAUUACAGAAAAUCAUUCCAGAAUCAUACACCAUGAUCAAGUCGGAUUUUAUACCAGGAAUGCAGGGUUGGUUUAAUAUUAGGAAAACUAUUAGCAUAACUGACUAUAUCAAUAAAGAAAAUGAACAAAAACCAUAUGAUCAUGUCAAUAGAUGACAGAAAAAGCAUUUGAUAAAUCCAACAUUCAUUCCUAAUAAAAACACUUGAGAGCAUAGGAAUAAAUGGAGUUUUCCUUAAAAUAGUCAGUAGCAUCUAUUUAAAACCAUUAAUAAGCUUCGUAUGUAAUGGUGAUAAACUGAAACCAUUCCCUGCAAAAAUCAGGAGUGAAACAAGGGUGCCCACUAUUACCAUUACUAUUCAAUAUUGUAUUAGAAAUGCUAGCUUCAGCAAUAAGAGAUGAAAAAGAAAUUAAAGGAAUUAGAGUAGGUAUUGAGGAAACCAAAUUAUCACUCUUUGCUGAUUAUAUGAUGGUAUAUUUAGAGAACACUAGAGAUUCUACUUAAAAGCUAUUAGAAAUAAUCCACAUGUUUAACAAAGUUUCAGGAUGCAAAAUUAACCCACAUAAAUCAUCAGCAUUCUUAUAUGUCACUAACAAAAUCAACAGUUAGAGCUACAAAAAGAAAUUCCAUUAAAGUAACUACCAAUAAUAUAAAAUAUUUGGGAAUGUAUUUGCCAAGGGAAAGUCAGGAAAUAUAUGAGCAAAACUAUAGAACAUUUUCCACACAAAUAAAGUAAGAUCCAACCAAUUGGAAAAAUAUUAAAUACCCUUGGAUAGGGUGAGCAACUAUAAUAAAGAUGACAAUACUACCCAUACUAAUCUAUUUAUUUAGUACUAUACAAAUCACACUCCCAAAAAACUAUUUUAAUGACUUGGAAAAAAUAACAACACAAUUCAUCUGGAAUAACAAAAGGUCAAGACUUUCAAAGGAACUAAUGAAAAAAAAUCACAUGAAGGUGGCCUAGCUGUACCAGAUCUAAAAUUAUAUUAUAAAGCAGCAGUUAGCAAAACCAUUUGGUAUUGGCUAAGAAAUAGACUAGUUGAUCAGUAAAAUUGGUUAGAUUCAAGGGACAAAACUGUCAACAACUUUAAUAAUCUAGCAUUUGACAAACCUAAAGGCCCCAGCUUUUGGGAUAAGAAUUCACUGUUUGCCAAAAACUCCUGGGAAAAUUAGAAAUUAAUAUGGCAGAAACUAGGCAUUGCCCCACACUUAACAUCAUACACCAAGAUAAGAUCAAAAUGGGUUCAUGAUCUAGGCAUAAAGAAUAACAUUAUAAAUAAAUUACAAGAACAUAGGAUAGUUUACCUCUCAGACCUGUGUAGAAGUGAUCAAAGAAAAACUAAAAAUCAUUAUUAAUCACAAAAUAGAAAAUUUUGGUUAUUUUAAAUUAAAGAGCUUUUGUAUAAACAAAAAUAAUGCAGACAAGAUUAGAAGAGAAGUAAUAAACUGGGAAAAUAUUUUUACAGCCAAAUAUUCUGAUAACAGCCUCAUUUCCAAAAUAUAUAGAGAACUGACUCCAAUUUAUAAGAAAUCAAGUCAUUCUCCAAUUGAUAAAUGGUCAAAGGUUAUGAACAAUUUUCAGAUGAAGAAAUAGAAAGUAUUUAUAGUCAUAUGAAAAGAUACUCCAAUCCAUUAUUAAUCAGAAAAUUCAGAUGAAAACAACUGUGAGUUAUCACUACACACCUGUCAGAUUGGCUAGGAUGACUUGAAGAGAUAAUGCUGAAUGCUGGAGGGGAUGUGGGAUAACUGGUACACUGAUACAUUCUUGGUGGAAUUGUGAAUACAUCCAGUCAUUCUGGACAGUGAUUUGGAAUCAUGCUCAAAAAGUUAUCAAACUGUGCAUACCCUUUGAUCCAGCAGUGUUACUACUGGGCUUAUAUCCCAAAGAGAUCUUGAAGAAGGGAAAGGGAUCUGUAUGUGCAAGAAUGUGGCAUCCCUCUUUGUAGUGGCCAGAAACUGUAAGCUGAGUGGAUGCCCAUCAAUUGGAGAAUGACUGAAUAAAUUGUGGUAUAUUAAAAGUAUGGAAUAUAUUGUUCUGUAAGAAAUGACCAGCAGGAUGAUUUCAGAAAGGCCUGGAGAAACUUACAUGAACUGAUGCUGAGUGAAGUGAGCAGGAUCAGGAAAUCAUUAUACACUUCAACUUUCAAAAUACUUUAUGAUGAUCAAUUCUGAUGGAGGUUGCUCUCUUCAAUAAUGAGAUGAACCAAAUAAGUUCCAUUUAUUCAAUAAUGAAUAGAACCAGCUGAGUGUGAACCACUACAUAGCAUUCCUAAUCCCUCUAUUUUUGUCCAUCGGCAUUUUUGAUUUGCUUCAAAGGUUAAUUGUAUAUUGUUUCAAAGUCCAACUUUUUUUAUGCAGCAAAAUAACUGUAUGGAUAUGUAUCCAUAUAUUGUAUUUAACAUAUAUUUUAACAUAUUUAACAUGUAUUGGUCUACCUGCUCUCUGAGGGAGAGGGUGAGGGGAAGGAGGGGAAAAAUUGGAACAAAAGUGUUUUUUUUGUUGUUGUUGUUGUUGUUGUUUUUUUAAAUAGCCUUUUAUUUACAGGUUAUAUAUAUGGGUAACUUUACAGCAUUGACAAUUGCCAAACCUCUUGUUCCAAUUUUUCCCCUCCUUCCUCCCACUUCCUCCCCCCCCCCCGAGAUGGCAGGAUGACCAGUAUAUGUUAAAUAUAUUAAAAUAUAAAUUAGAUACACAAUAAGUAUACAUGACCAAACUGUUAUUUUGCUGUACAAAAAGAAUCAGACUCUGAAAUAUUGUACAAUUAGCUUGUGAAGGAAAUCAAAAAUGCAGGUGGGCAUAAAUACAGGGAUUGGGAAUUCAAUGUAAUGGUUUUUAGUUAUCACCCAGAGUUCUUUCUCUGGGCGUAGCUGGUUCAGUUCAUUACUGCUCCAUUAGAACUGAUUUGGUUCAUCUCAUUGCUGAGGAUAGCCAGGUCCAUCAGAAUUGGUCAUCAUAUAGUAUUGUUGUUGAAGUAUAUAAUGAUCUCCUGGCCCUGCUCAUUUCACUCAGCAUCAGUUCAUAUAAGUCUCUCCAUGACUUUCUGAAAUCUUCCUGUUGGUCAUUUCUUACAGAACAAUAAUAUUCCAUAAUAUUCAUAUCCACAAUUUAUUCAGCCAUUCUCCAAUUGAUGGACAUCCACUCACUUUCCAGUUCCUGGCCACUACAAAGAGGGCUGCUACAAACAUUCGUGCACAUACAGGUCCCUUUCCCUUCUUUAUGAUCUCUUUGGGAUAAGGUUUUGCAAUUGUCAAUGCUGAAAAAUUACCCACUCAUAUAUCCUAUAAAUAAAAAAGUAUAAUAAAAAAUAAUGUCCUUAUAGCCCUUUUCUCUUGAGCUGUUGCUAAAGAUAAUUUUUUUUACUUCUUCCUCUCUCCUUGAAAAACUCUGUGGAUUUACCUUCUCUAUGUAGAGGCACUAAUUCUACUUUGCCAUUUGUAGUGUCUCUGAUUCUGCUUAUAUUUCCAUCUGCUUAGAAUAUUCAUGAGUGUGAUUUUUGCUAUUCAAAGAGUGGAGAAAAUAGAAAUAAUAUCUGCCAGAAAACAUAAAUAACUAUUCUUCUGGCCUAGAUUCUUAUGAAGAAGGGAAAUCCAUUUUCCUCUUAAAGUUGUUCAUAGAAAAUAAUAUCUUAUUGAGAUUAUGCUCAGAAUUCUUGGCUUGCUGAUAAUGAUAUAUGAUGAGUCUUGUUAUUUUUGUGGUAAGAAGUUUACCUAGACUAAAGUUGUUUUUCCCAAUUAAGACAUGCAGAAAAAACUCAGAUGGUGCUGCCAAGGACACACCUGCCACUGAUCUUGUGAUAUAGUCAUUGAGGCCUAAACCCUUCCUUAAAUUCAAAAUAACACAGUCUAUAUAUAAGAUCAUACCAGAGAGAUCAUGGAAUUACCAACUAAAAUAUGAUCUUCAUGAUCAUCUAAACCAUUGCUUCUUCUUAACCUGUGGUCAGUGAAUAUUCUUUUUCCUUUAAUAUUAGAUGGUCACUUAAUUCUUCAUGUAUCUGAAAGAUUGUCUAGACACAGAUAUCCUGCCAAAUUAUCCUCAUAUUACUCUGUUGAAUCAUACUUGAUAUUUUCUACUAAUAUUCCAUCUCUCUACCUAACCAUCUGUUGUUAAAGGAUUUCAUAUUUAGUUAUGAAUUUGACUCACAAGUUUCUGAAGUUGCUUCUAACUUGGACAUUCUGUGAUUCCAAUUUCAAUGGGAGUCAGACCAUAAUGUUGCAAUCAUGUUAGUAAUCUGUUAUCAUUUCUUCAUGAUUUUUGUACUAUCUUACUUUUUACUUCUUCAUAUCUAGCAUCAAGAUUUCUUGUGUUUCAGUGAUUAUUCUCUAUAGAAAAUCAAUUGUAAAACAUUGUUGAUCAGCAAAUGUCCUCCCUACUCUAUUAAUGGACUAGACUAAUUAUAUGUAGUAUGCAUAGCAUUAUGAAUGACAUUACCAUAUGUCUUGACACUUAUAAUAGUAUUUAUUUGCUAAUGAAAUAUCUAUGAUUAUAUGUUGACAUGAAUUAUUGUUUUAGAUGAAGAUGUGAACAUAAGAUUUGAGUACCUCAAAUUCACUGAAUAAGUUUUUUUUUUUUUAAUCAAGAAAACCCAGUAAAACUGCAACCUGACCUCAGGUUUAAAAAAAUGUCAUUGCCAAUUGUGAAUAAUAGUGCAUGUUUUCUUGUUGUGAAGUUAGACAGAUUCAAUACCUUGACAGAUUUUCAAAAUAUUCUUAGAUGUGAUUAGUUGUACUUGCCAAUUAUAUUUUGGCUAAUUUGCAAAUUCACUUUAGCUCAAUGAAUUGGUUAUAUCUUUGGAUUAACUUACCUUAAGUAAUUUGUCCAUAAAUGUAUUUUAAUAAGCUCACAUCUGUCAUCAGUUGUCUUCCAUCUCAUUGUCACGUUGCAGGAAGACAUCUUCUUCCCUAGUUGUUUUGUUUAAUCUAAUAUUGUUUUGCUGAUGUUUUGCCUUGGUAGAUUUUCCCUUAUUCCCUGAAUUAUUUCUAUUUUUAGUAUUUUUUCUAAUGAAGGCAAAAAUUCUCAGAUAUAAUUUUUGUUUUUUGUUUUAAAGUAUAUGUGGUCUUGUAUAGGGAGGAAAGUUUGAUCAAGGAAACUCCCUUUACCAUUGUGGAUUAACAAUUAUUGCUUUAAUGGAACACAUGACUAAUUAUACUUUUUGUUUUAGUGUAUGAAAAUGAAAAGAAUGAGAAAGAAGGAAAUAAAAAAAGGGAGCAGGAAGGAAUAUAGAGAACAUCAGUUAGAGGGAGAAAAUAUGUUGAGAUGUAGGAGCAAGACUCAGGAAAGUGUCAAUUAGAGUGAAAAGGGGCAACGUCUUUUGCCAGUCCAGAACUCAAGUCCUUUAACCUUCGACUACAGAUCUGCUUUGUCACUUUGGGUCCCAGUUGUUUUUCAACUUUUUGGCUGGUCAAAAUCUCCUUUCUUCUCACCUUGGACCCAGGGCUCUUUAUCUAAUCUAUACGGAAUUACCUCAGAGAAUUUGCCUAGUGUCCAAUAUGUGUUUCCAAAAGGUCUUUUCCUCUGUGUUGUGAUAGAAAUGACUUAGCUUAGUCAUUAAUAGUAUAAUGGACUGGUUUUAGGUUUUGAGGUUGUCCUUGCUUCUGCUUGAAGAAGGGGAUUUCAUGAGAAGACAGAGGAAGGUAACAGACACUGAAGUUCAAAAGAAAUUAAAC